UGCAGAAUCCCGUGAAUCAUCGAGUUUUUGAACGCAAGUUGCGCCCGAAGCCAUUCGGCCGAGGGCACGCCUGCCUGGGCGUCACGC
This 87-nucleotide ribosomal RNA is filed under the name Galium circaezans. Its description in RNAcentral is "partial 5.8S ribosomal RNA". It matches the Rfam family "5.8S ribosomal RNA", at positions 73 to 154 of the family's 154-position model. From Rfam's summary of the family: 5.8S ribosomal RNA (5.8S rRNA) is a component of the large subunit of the eukaryotic ribosome. It is transcribed by RNA polymerase I as part of the 45S precursor that also contains 18S and 28S rRNA. The record is from RNAcentral. RNAcentral also lists the same sequence under 1 other name. Lineage: Eukaryota; Viridiplantae; Streptophyta; Magnoliopsida; Gentianales; Rubiaceae.